UUAAAUUAGUUUAUUUAUAGCUUUAUUUAAACAAAUUUUUAUUUAACAUGACAUUUAAUACAAAAAUUCAGUUAAUAAAAUUUUUAAGAUAAUUAAGUAUUUAAAAGUAAAAAUUCUUAAUUAGUUAAUAUUGUGCCAGCAACUGCGGUUAAACAAUAAAUAAUGUUAAAUAAUCCUUAAAAUUUACAAUAAUAAAACUAAAGAUUCCAAAAAUAGAAAUAAUUGGUAUAAUAAAAAUUUCUUUUUAUUUAUCUUAAAAAUUUUAUAUUUAAAAAUUAGUUAUCAAUAGGAUUAGAUACCCUAGUAAAAUUAAUAAAUGAAAUUUUAAUAGGUAUUAAAAGUUAAACUCAACUCCUCUAAACCUAAAUAUUAUGGCAGUAAAAAAAUUUUUAGAGAAUUUUGUUUAUUAAAUUGAUAACACACAAAAAACCUUUCUUAAUUUUAAACCUUUAUACCACCGUAAAACUUAAUUUUAAAAAUUUAAGUUUUUUUAGUAAAAAAAAAAAAAACAGGUCUUGGCAAAGUUAUAAUUAAGAUUAAGUGAAAUUCAAUAUAAUAUAUAAUUUAUUAUUAAAUAUCAAUAAUUUUUUAAUAACAGAAUUUAAAAGUAAGAUUUUAUUAGAAGGAAAAUCUAAAUAUAUAUUUAUUUAUGUUCAAAUUGCCCGUCACUCUCAUAAAAAUUGAGAUAAGUCGUAACAAAGUAAAUAUAUUGGAAAAUGUAUUUAUAUUAAAGU
This 734-nucleotide ribosomal RNA is filed under the name Opimothrips tubulatus. RNAcentral describes it as "12S ribosomal RNA". Lineage: Eukaryota; Metazoa; Arthropoda; Insecta; Thysanoptera; Thripidae. The record is from RNAcentral.